This is a long non-coding RNA of Gasterosteus aculeatus aculeatus (three-spined stickleback), 2813 nucleotides long. NCBI's taxonomy places the organism in Eukaryota, Metazoa, Chordata, Actinopteri, Perciformes, Gasterosteidae. The record is from Ensembl.
CCACAAAGCCUCCAAGAACCAGGGAGGGACAAUGUCCUCUAAAAAAAACAUGUUUCCCCUCAAACCUUCAUGGUCCCUUCAGGAUGAACUCUGCUGAGGAAGAGUUAAGGGUACCUUUGAGGGUUUUAUUUCCUGAUCCUUUGUUUUAGGAGGCUGCAUUGCCUCUUUUCCUUUGUUUUGUCUUUGAUCGUGAGGUUUAAAGUGGGACAGACUCGGGGUGAACUUGUUAAACUGCGUUUGUUUGUGUGGAGGAACAGCUUUAAUCAGACGACACGCUAAGAUCUGGUGAUGGAGUCACAUGACCUCAUCUACACAAUCGGGGGAUCUUUUGGUUCCUCUGGGUUCCUCUGGGUUCCUCUUGGCUCAUAUUGCUUCCUCUUGGUUAUUCUCUGUUCUCCUUGUUCUCAUAAGUUACGCUACGUUCUUCUAGGUUCCUAUCAGUUCCUCUAGGUUCCUAUCUGUCCUUCUUUGUUCCUCUAGGUUUCUCCUCGUUCCUCUAGGUUCCUAUCAGUUCCUUUAGGUUCCUAUCUGUCCUUCUUGGUUCCUCUUGGUUCCUCUUGGGUUUUGGUUGCUGACGUUUGAACUCUUGAACAGGAGGCAGCGGUGAGUGUCCUUAGAAGGAAGAAAAAGGUUGAUAAUAAGGAGUUAUGAGAAGAAGAUGAAAGAGCGGCGCCUACAGGAAUAGAUUAAUAAUAUAACAUUACUUUUGAAGACGCCUCACUUACAUAAUUUCUUUAUUACAUUUUUGUUUCCUAUGUGUCUGAUUUGAUGUUAAUGUUAAAAAUAAUACAAUUAGCUGCAAAUGUGAAAUUAAGUUUUCCAUUUGCAGACUGUCUUCCUUCCAGUGGGAAGAUGCGGACACACAUUAGUGUUUACAUCAACGCCUCACUGGAUGUUUGGUGAAUCCACUUCCUGGUCAAUGAGUCAUCAUAAAAAUACUAAAUAAUUUUGUGCAGAUGGAUUUGUUUCACGUGUAUAAGAUUUUAAAUUCAGAGGCUUUUAAAUAUAAAAGCUAAUAAAAUUGGAGCUCACGUUCAAAAGAGUCUUUGUUGAGGAUCAGACCUCCUGAUGAAGAACCGAAGGUCUCAACACAGAUUAUAGAAAUCCUCCUUCACUCUUUCUAAUGAAAUCCUUACAGAAGCUCAGGAAUACAGAUGGCUGACACCUUUGGGUCAAAGGUCACACCCAUGUCGCAUGUUUUUCAUCUUCAUCGCACUAUUUCUUCUAUCUAGUCUGAGAUGGCGAAAAAAAACUAAACUAAAACAAAAAAGCUGUUCAUUUAAAGUUAAUUUUUUCGUUUUAUUCGUUCUCUAUUUGGUUGUUGAGAAAAUAAUAUGAUAAGAAAUAUUAACUUCAAAGGUUCAGUUGGGAAAAAUUCACAAAAUGAAAAAAAGGCAAAAUAUUUUUCUUUAUGUUCCAAAAUGAAUUUAAAGGUUAUCUGUGAUACAUCCGAAUACUAAACAUAUGCCAUCAUUCCAUAAACUCUGAGGAUUAAUAAUAAUUCAGAGAUUUAUCUACAUUUAAGUAAUAAUAAUAAUAAUUAAAGUUAAUUUGAUCAAGUCAAUUACAACUGUGACUAUUGAUCUCUGUUGUAUUUAACACUUAAUACUGUAAUACUACAUAUUAUAUAUUCUCUUCUCCAGGUUUUAGUUCAAGAACAUAAUUUCAGACCAAAACCUUUAAGGCUUCAACUAAACCCUCCUGUUGUUAUUGUUCAACUUUUGUUGAACUAACAAGCUAACAUGCUACCACGCUAAGGUCCUAACAUGCUAACGCCAAUGUUCCAUCCUGUGAGCCAAUGAGUUUUUACACGGAUUUUAAAUGUGAAAAACCCCAAACAAUCAGACAGAGUGACGUAAUAAAACGGUAGUUUAAUAAUGAACAUCAAGGGAUUCCCUCAAUGUGACACGUCCUCCAUUUCCUCUUCUGUGUCGUCAGGAAAAUCAAAAUGGUGGAUUAAGUUAUUUAAAGUGAGCAGCUUUAAUCAUUGGCUGCUGAAAAGUCAACGUAGAGGAUUAAAGUCCUUUAAAGCACAAAGCUCACAUCCUGUCGCUCUCUCCCUCCCAGUCUGUCUCCCUCUCUGUCUCUGUCCCAGUGCUUCCACCCUCUGUCCUCUCUCUCUCUCUGCAGCCAGCUGUCGUCCCUCGUCCAGCGCCAUCAUCAGCAUCCCUCCCUCCCCCCGACGCACUCGCUUUUCUUGCAGAUUUCCACGGCCCCCCCGCCCCUCCCCACGUUGUCCCCUCUGGCUCCUGGGGCCGAGAGCGAUAUGAAGCGUCGCCAUGGGGUUAAUGGAAUUCUACCUGGAGAUUGACCCGGUCACCUUGAACCUCAUCAUCCUGGUGGCCAGCUAUGUCAUCCUGCUCCUGGUGUUCCUCAUCUCCUGCAUCCUGUACGACUGCCGGGGCAAAGACCCCACCAAGGAGUACGCGCCGGACACCUCUCCUGCCGCUGCAGCGCCUCCCCCUCCUCCUCCGGCAGCCGGCCAGUCGCCCAUCCACUUGGUGGUCAUGCAAAACUCCCCCGCCGCCUCCACCCGCAAUGAAGCCGGCCGAGGCGAGCCGCCGACGCCGGACCUGAGCCGGGAGAGAGAGAAGAGGACAACCCUGGUCUGAGGAAGAGGACGAGGAAGGGACACUGUUCUGUGUUUUUUUUAUUCUUUGUUUUUACUUUUUAAAACAUCUGGAUGUCUUUGGAGAGCUGCUGAGUGGGACAGCGGAAGGUAAGCAGCAGCAUAAGAUAACUUAUUAUUAUCUUCCAAUAAAUUCAUGCCGUCCCUCGAGUCUAAAUCUCAUACUUGGGACUCAACGUGGCGU